Molecule: transfer RNA, 80 nt
Filed under: Clostridia bacterium
Lineage: Bacteria; Bacillati; Bacillota; Clostridia
Description: tRNA-Leu
Rfam family: tRNA
About the family: Transfer RNA (tRNA) molecules are approximately 80 nucleotides in length.
Source: RNAcentral
GCGGGUGUGGUGGAAUUGGCAGACACGCAAGAUUUAGGAUCUUGUACUUCCGUGUGCAGGUUCAAGUCCUGUCACCCGCA